Molecule: ribosomal RNA, 460 nt
Filed under: uncultured bacterium
Lineage: Bacteria
Description: partial 16S ribosomal RNA
Rfam family: Bacterial small subunit ribosomal RNA
Source: RNAcentral
CCUACGGGGCGCAGCAGUGAGGAAUAUUGGUCAAUGGACGAGAGUCUGAACCAGCCAAGUAGCGUGAAGGAUGAUUGCCCUAUGGGUUGUAAACUUCUUUUAUAUGGGAAUAAAACGUUCCACGUGUGGGAUUUUGUAUGUACCAUAUGAAUAAGGAUCGGCUAACUCCGUGCCAGCAGCCGCGGUAAUACGGAGGAUCCGAGCGUUAUCCGGAUUUAUUGGGUUUAAAGGGAGCGUAGGUGGAUUGUUAAGUCAGUUGUGAAAGUUUGCGGCUCAACCGUAAAAUUGCAGUUGAAACUGGCAGUCUUGAGUACAGUAGAGGUGGGCGGAAUUCGUGGUGUAGCGGUGAAAUGCUUAGAUAUCACGAAGAACUCCGAUUGCGAAGGCAGUUCACUGGACUGCAACUGACACUGAGGCUCGAAAGUGUGGGUAUCAAACAGGAUUAGAUACCCGAGUAGUC